AUAUAGGUCAAGCUACAAAGGGCGCAUGGUGAAUGCCUUGGCAUCAGGAGCCGAUGAAGGACGUGAUAAGCUGCGAUAAGCUUCGGGUAGGCGCACAUAGCCUGAGAUCCGAAGAUCUCCGAAUGAGGAAACUCACAUGGGAAACCCCAUGUAUCAUUAAGUGAAUACAUAGCUUAAUGAAGGUAACCCAGGGAACUGAAACAUCUAAGUACCUGGAGGAAGAGAAAGAAAAAUCGAUUUUCUUAGUAGCGGCGAGCGAAAGGGAAAGAGCCCAAACCGGAAACUUGUUUCCGGGGUUGUGGACAUAACAUAAAAGUGGAGGCUAUUGUAACUGAAGAGAACUGGAAAGUUCCACCGUAGAAGGUAAUAGUCCUGUAAGUGAAACGAGAAGACCACGAGUUAUGAUCCAGAGUACCACGAGACACGUGAAACCUUGUGGGAAGCAGGGAGGACCACCUCCCAAGGCUAAAUACUACCUGAUGACCGAUAGUGAAGCAGUACCGUGAGGGAAAGGUGAAAAGAACCCCGGGAGGGGAGUGAAAUAGAACCUGAAACCGUGUGCCUACAACCGCUCAGAGCCCCUUAUGAGGGUGAUGAGGUGCUUUUUGUAGAACGAGCCAACGAGUUACGGUAUGUAGCAAGGUUAAGUACUUAAGGUACGGAGCCGAAGGGAAACCGAGUCUGAAUAGGGCGACUAGUUGCAUGCCGUAGACCCGAAACCGGGUGACCUAUCCAUGGCCAGGUUGAAGCGAGGGUAAAACCUCGUGGAGGACCGAACCACGUUGCUGUUGAAAAAGCAUGGGAUGAGCUGUGGAUAGCGGAGAAAUUCCAAUCGAACCCGGAGAUAGCUGGUUCUCUCCGAAAUAGCUUUAGGGCUAGCGUCGAGUAUGAGUAGUGGAGGUAGAGCACUGAAUGGGCUAGGGGGCAUAGCGCUUACCGAACCUUAUCAAACUCCGAAUGCCACAUACUUUGAGCUCGGCAGUCAGACUACGAAUGAUAAGAUCCGUGGUCAAAAGGGAAACAGCCCAGAUCGUCAGCUAAGGUCCCAAAGUGUAAGUUAAGUGGGAAAGGAUGUGAGAUUUCUAAGACAACUAGGAUGUUGGCUUAGAAGCAGCCAUUCAUUAAAAGAGUGCGUAAUAGCUCACUAGUCGAGAGAUCUUGCGCCGAAAAUGUAACGGGGCUAAACUUACCACCGAAGCUACGGGCUUGAACUUAGUUCAAGCGGUAGGAGAGCGUCGUAACCGGGCUGAAGUCGUACCGUAAGGAGCGGUGGACUGGUUACGAGUGAGAAUGUUGGCAUCAGUAGCGAGAUGUGGGUGAGAAUCCCACAGGCCGAAAACCUAAGGUUUCCUCAGGAAGGUUCGUCCGCUGAGGGUUAGUCGGGACCUAAGCCGAGGCCGAAAGGCGUAGGUGAUGGACAACUGGUUGAUAUUCCAGUACCACUACCAUCGUUAUUAUCGAUGGCGUGACGCAGGAGGAUAGUGUGUGCUAGCUAUUGGAUGCUAGUCUAAGCGUUUAGGCAGUGAGAGUAGGCAAAUCCGCUCUCAUAAUGCUGAGGCGUGAUGGGGAAGGUUCUACGGAACCGAAGUACAUGAUUCCACGCUGCCAAGAAAAGCGUCUAGAGAGAGAAGUAGUGCCCGUACCGCAAACCGACACAGGUAGGUGAGGAGAGAAUCCUAAGGCCGGCGGAAGAAUUACAGUUAAGGAACUCGGCAAAUUGACCCCGUAAGUUCGCGAGAAGGGGUGCCUACGAGAGUAGGCCGCAGAGAAUAGGCCCAAGCAACUGUUUAGCAAAAACACAGGUCUCUGCUAAAGCGUAAGCUGAUGUAUAGGGGCUGACGCCUGCCCGGUGCUGGAAGGUUAAGGGGAACACUUAGCGCAAGCGAAGGUGUGAACUUAAGCCCCAGUAAACGGCGGCCGUAACUAUAACGGUCCUAAGGUAGCGAAAUUCCUUGUCAGGUAAGUUCUGACCCGCACGAAUGGCGUAAUGACUUGGGCACUGUCUCAACUGUAAAUCCGGCGAAGUUGUAGUGCGAGUGAAGAUGCUCGCUACCCGCGAUUGGACGGAAAGACCCCGUAGAGCUUUACUGUAGCUUAGCAUUGAGUUUUGGUAUUGUCUGUACAGGAUAGGUGGGAGACUAGGAAACCAGGGCGUCAGCCUUGGUGGAGUCAACCUUGGGAUACCACCCUGACAGUACUGAAAUUCUAACUGGCGGCCAUGAAUCUGGUCACAGGACAUUGUUAGGUGGGCAGUUUGACUGGGGCGGUCGCCUCCUAAAAAGUAACGGAGGCGCCCAAAGGUUCCCUCAGAACGGUCGGAAAUCGUUCGAAGAGUGCAAAGGCAGAAGGGAGCCUGACUGCGACACCCACAAGUGGAGCAGGGACGAAAGUCGGGCUUAGUGAUCCGGUGGUACCUCGUGGGAGGGCCAUCGCUCAACGGAUAAAAGCUACCUCGGGGAUAACAGGCUGAUCUCCCCCAAGAGUCCACAUCGACGGGGAGGUUUGGCACCUCGAUGUCGGCUCGUCGCAUCCUGGGGCUGAAGUAGGUCCCAAGGGUUGGGCUGUUCGCCCAUUAAAGCGGCACGCGAGCUGGGUUCAGAACGUCGUGAGACAGUUCGGUCCCUAUCCGUCGCGGGCGUAGGAAAUUUGAGAGGAGCUGUCCUUAGUACGAGAGGACCGGGAUGGACUGACCUCUGGUGUACCAGUUGUUCCGCCAGGAGCACAGCUGGGUAGCUAAGUCGGGAAUGGAUAAACGCUGAAAGCAUCUAAGCGUGAAGCCAACCUCAAGAUGAGAUUUCCCAUAGC
Molecule: ribosomal RNA, 2805 nt
Filed under: Clostridium perfringens
Lineage: Bacteria; Bacillati; Bacillota; Clostridia; Eubacteriales; Clostridiaceae
Description: partial 23S ribosomal RNA
Rfam family: Bacterial large subunit ribosomal RNA
Source: RNAcentral